RNAcentral lists this ribosomal RNA (453 nucleotides) under Domibacillus aminovorans. Its description in RNAcentral is "bacterial SSU rRNA". It matches the Rfam family "Bacterial small subunit ribosomal RNA", at positions 1 to 442 of the family's 1533-position model. The record is from RNAcentral. Lineage: Bacteria; Bacillati; Bacillota; Bacilli; Caryophanales; Bacillaceae.
CUUUUUGGAGAGUUUGAUCCUGGCUCAGGACGAACGCUGGCGGCGUGCCUAAUACAUGCAAGUCGAGCGGAUCUAAAGGAGCUUGCUCCUUUAGAUUAGCGGCGGACGGGUGAGUAACACGUGGGCAACCUGCCCUGCAGAUUGGGAUAACUCCGGGAAACCGGGGCUAAUACCGAAUAAUAUCGAAGAUUUCAUGAUCUUCUUUUGAAAGAUGGCAUCUCGCUGUCACUGCAGGAUGGGCCCGCGGCGCAUUAGCUAGUUGGUGAGGUAACGGCUCACCAAGGCAACGAUGCGUAGCCGACCUGAGAGGGUGAUCGGCCACACUGGGACUGAGACACGGCCCAGACUCCUACGGGAGGCAGCAGUAGGGAAUCUUCCGCAAUGGACGAAAGUCUGACGGAGCAACGCCGCGUGAGUGAUGAAGGUUUUCGGAUCGUAAAACUCUGUCCUCAG